RNAcentral lists this ribosomal RNA (777 nucleotides) under uncultured Neocallimastigales. Its description in RNAcentral is "partial large subunit ribosomal RNA". It matches the Rfam family "Eukaryotic large subunit ribosomal RNA", at positions 22 to 634 of the family's 3401-position model. The record is from RNAcentral. Lineage: Eukaryota; Fungi; Neocallimastigomycota; Neocallimastigomycetes; Neocallimastigales.
AUAGAGACUCAGACUGCAUAUCAAUAAGCGGAGGAAAAGAAACUAACAAGGAUUCCCUUAGUAACGGCGAGUGAAGCGGGAAGAGCUCGAAUUUGAAAUCUUCAAGGGUUUCCCUUGACGAAUUGUAGUUUAGAGAAGUGUUUUCUGUUAGAGAGGUGGUAAAAGUUCUUUGGAAUAGGACAUCAUAGAGGGUGAGAAUCCCGUAUUUGAUCACUUUCUACUAACGUUGUGAUACACUUUCAAAGAGUCGGAUUGUUUGGGAAUGCAGUCCAAAAUGGGUGGUAAAUUUCAUCUAAAGCUAAAUAUUGGCGAGAGACCGAUAGCGGAACAAGUACCGUGAGGGAAAGAUGAAAAGAACUUUGAAAAGAGAGUUAAACAGUACGUGAAAUUGUCAAAAGGGAAGCGUUUGACACCAGUGUUGUUUUUCCGAAAAUCAAUUAUGAAUGGCUUGAUUUUAGAAGUUUCAUGACCUUAAAGGCUUGUUGCUUAUUUUCUUGUACUUUCGUAAUGCACUUUUCGGUUAACAAGUCAACAUCAAUUUCUUUUGUUGUAAAAGGGUAUGAGGAAGGUGGCUUUCUUUUCGGAGAAAGUGUUUAUAGCCUUGUGCCUCUGCAAUCGGAGAGAUUGAGGUCUGCAGCGUAGAUCCUUCGGGGUUAGAUACAUUUGUGCUAAGUUAUAGCUUUUCAUAGACAACUUGUUGACUAUGUUUAGUCUUGUAGCUUACUCGCUAUGCGCUAUUUUACCUACGCUUAGGAUGUUGAUAUGCAUGACUGAUAU